This 497-nucleotide ribosomal RNA is filed under the name uncultured bacterium. RNAcentral describes it as "partial 16S ribosomal RNA". It matches the Rfam family "Bacterial small subunit ribosomal RNA", at positions 28 to 507 of the family's 1533-position model. The record is from RNAcentral.
GAUGAACGCUGGCGGCGUGCCUAAUACAUGCAAGUCGAGCGAACAGACGAGGAGCUUGCUCCUCUGACGUUAGCGGCGGACGGGUGAGUAACACGUGGAUAACCUACCUAUAAGACUGGGAUAACUUCGGGAAACCGGAGCUAAUACCGGAUAAUAUAUUGAACCGCAUGGUUCAAUAGUGAAAUACGGUUUUGCUGUCACUUAUAGAUGGAUCCGCGCCGCAUUAGCUAGUUGGUAAGGUAACGGCUUACCAAGGCGACGAUGCGUAGCCGACCUGAGAGGGUGAUCGGCCACACUGGAACUGGGCCACGGUCCAGACUACUACGGGAGGCAGCAGUAGGGAAUCUUCCGCAAUGGGCGAAAGCCUGACGGAGCAACGCCGCGUGAGUGAUGAAGGUCUUCGGAUCGUAAAACUCUGUUAUUAGGGAAGAACAAAUGUGUAAGUAACUAUGCACGUCUUGACGGUACCUAAUCAGAAAGCCACGGCUAACUACGUG